Molecule: ribosomal RNA, 269 nt
Filed under: uncultured bacterium
Lineage: Bacteria
Description: partial 16S ribosomal RNA
Rfam family: Bacterial small subunit ribosomal RNA
Source: RNAcentral
UACGUAGGGGGGCAAGCGUUGUCCGGAAUCAUUGGGCGUAAAGCGCACGUAGGCGGUUCGUUAUGUCGGAUGUGAAAGCCCUUGGCUUAACCGAGGAAGUGCAUCCGAAAACUGGCGAGCUAGAGUACGAAAAGAGGAUCGCGGGAAAUUCCCCGGUGUAGAGGUGAAAAUUCGUAGAUAUUCGGAAGAACACCAGUGGCGAAGGCGACUUACCGGACACAUAUUUGACGCUGAGGGUGCGAAAAGCGUGGGGGGAGCAAAACAGGGAU